RNAcentral lists this long non-coding RNA (233 nucleotides) under Linum usitatissimum (flax). RNAcentral's name for it is "long non-coding RNA (LUSI_LNC004213)". The record is from RNAcentral. Lineage: Eukaryota; Viridiplantae; Streptophyta; Magnoliopsida; Malpighiales; Linaceae.
CAGGGCGCAGAGGAGGACGGAGAGGACCAUCACCACGUUGGAGUCAAAUGUGUUGUCGGUUUCAGUGGCUGCGGUGGCUACGGGAGGAGAGACGGCGGCGGCGGUAGAGGAGGACGGUGGAGAGCGGUGGUGGAAUAGGGAGUUGAGGAGGAGGAGUCUUCUAGCGGCCAUUUGGUUGAUUAGUGGGUUUGAUUAAUGGGUUUAAAUUUAAUUAAAGAUUGGGGUUUGGGUUU